AUAAAAAGUGAUUUACACGGGGCCGCAACGGUCGCUCGGCCCGACUUCGCUACCCCGCUCUGUGCCCCCGUGGCCUUGGCGGGGAUCGUUGGUUCUGUCGACGCGGCGGGCAGCCCUCGCUCUCUGCCUCUCGUGGCUUUGCGGUCGUCCCUCCCCGUGGCGGGGGGGGUCUGUCCCGCUCGCCCGGUCGCGCGCCUUUUCGGCGCGUGGUUCCCGGGUCCGUGGCCCUCUGCGGUGCUCCUGGAGCGUACCGGGUCGGUCCCCAAAGGUGCCCGAGACCGAGCGGCGGCCGUCGUCCUCGUUCCCGGUGUCCCUCUCUGGUCGCUGCUGCAGUGUGCCGCGUCGUGUCCCUGAGCAGUCCUGAAUCCGGGGGGUCGAGGCGGUUGAGCCGACGGGCGUCACCCCGUGCCGCGUGGGCGGGCGGGGUGCCGCUCUGUCAGUCCCCACGGCGUGUGUGGUGGACCGGAAAGGCGAGAGCGGCGCGGUCCGUGCUUCUUCUCUCCCCGCUUUUUUUGGGAAUUUUUAAAAAUUAUAAAAAAAAAAAAAAAAAAAAAGUGAUUUACAACCAGGGCAAUGGGCCUGGGAAAGAACAAAUGCUUCAAUAACCAGGGUGACAGUAGGAGAUCACUGGCUGAUCUCACUGAUGGGUAAACCGAAUUGGAAAUGGAGCACCUGCCCACCCCUACCUUGCAGCCCAGCACUUUCACUCCAGAAAGCAGAGCUGGUUCCUCUUCCUCCAGGAGCUGACACAGACUGAGUGGAAGAGAGCCUCCACCAUCCAAGCCGGAGGCAUUUUCCCUGAAUGCUUACGAAGAGACAAAGAAGAACAAUUUCCUUUUCCAGUAGUUGAGACUGAAAUUUCUCAAGGGAACAGUGGCCAUAGGUCUACUCAUUUGGAGGAUUUUGAAAGCAGAGGCUGCAAGAGAACAGAAAGCUGAGGGAAGAGAGGACUGACUGUGAGGAUGAAGAGAUUAAUUGAUCUCUGUCAGUCUGGACUCUGAAAACCCAUUUGGUGGCCAUGGAAAGACCGACUACUCAGUGGACAACUUUGAUGACUCUAUUUGCACUUACUUUACAGAAUGCAGAAAUUCAGGAUGUAAUAUUACUAUAACUGACUUUGCUAAAGAAACUGGAAAUGAUUUCAUAGUUUAGCUACAAAUGAGGACCAGAAUGCCUCAUUGAGUCAAAAACUUUACCACACCUCCCAAAUGAGCAGUGGCCCUGGGAUUUUGUCUGGGAUGAUUUCCAAACAUGUGUUAAGCAUUAUUCAUUAUGGAAUUUUGUGUAAUAAAGUUUUUUUUAUUAAAUGAUCACUAGGACAUUUGUCAAUUAUGAUGGUUUCUUGGACCGUACUUGCUCCAUUCCUUUCCUCUUAAAGUCACACAUUCCUUUAAAAAUGUUUUAAAGUUUAGGGCCCUGAAAUGGAUGCCAUUUUCAGCAUGCCACUCCCCUGCCCCCAAAUCCAUAGUUAAUGACAUAAAAAAAGGAUGGGAAGGAAACACAUUGUUUUUUCCAAAUUUUCUUUGAGCAUGGAAUUUAUGAGAAAAAUGUAA
This is a non-coding RNA of Microcebus murinus (gray mouse lemur), 1553 nucleotides long. The record is from RefSeq and is a predicted model, not a curated record. Lineage: Eukaryota; Metazoa; Chordata; Mammalia; Primates; Cheirogaleidae.